CGAAUCAAUUCCAGCUUCACCAUGACCAUGACUACAGAUGUGUGAGUUACUUAGAUAGUAUAAAUUUCUAUGAUAGCAUUAAUAGGCAAGAAGUGGGAAAUGCAUCUUUACAUAGAAUGUAACUAGAUAGUAGAUUUAUUCUAACACUAGAAUGAUCAAUCAUCGACGUAGUUGUAAACAAUUCAUAACUGUUUGUAUUUUUUAUAUAAUAAAUGGUGAUCCCAAGCAUCUUUUAUACAUGUUGCUUGGUUUUGGUUAUAUUCAAAAUGUUACAAUUUAAAUGGUGAAUAAGGUGUUGUUGGAUGGAUCCAUAAGCUCUAAAUGGUAAAGAGCGCUUACUAAAUGAGAGGUUGGUGGUUCAAAUCCAUCUGGUUCCAAUUUGCGUCUACUAUUAAUAUGAUAAACAAUUAUUAUUGAGUUGAUUAAUGUAAUAAUCAACUAGUGUUUUGAUUGAUUAAUAUACCAAUCAACUGAACAAAAAGAAAAAUAUAAUUAUUUUUAGUUGAUUAAUGUUCUAAUCAACUAUUGUUGUCUUGAUUAAUGUACUAAGCAACUAAUUUUUUAGUUGAUCAAUAUAUUAAUCAACUGAACAAAAAGAAAAAUAUAAUUUUCAUAGUUGAUUAAUGUACUAAUCAACUAUUGUUGAGUUGAUUAAUAUACUAAUCAACUAAAUAGAAAAUAAUACCUGAUUAAUGUGUUAAUCAAUUGGUAUAAGAGUUGAUUGGUGUGUUGAUCAGCUGCAAUACGAAUCAAUUAAUGUGUUAUUCAACUUUUAGAAUUGUUUCAGUUGUCUUACGAUUGGUCGUCACAAUAGGAGGACUUCCCCAAAUCUGAACAACAAUUAGAUUGUAGUUGUAUUUGAUGUUUUGUUUUUCAAUUGGUAUAAUUCAUUUUUAUUUUUAGUUUUUUUCUUCGCUUGUAUGACAUUAUAUUUAAGUGGUAACAAUAUAUAUCACUUUAUGAGAUGUGGAAAAGUUUACUGACAAUUUCAUUAUUGUGUUAAUCAAGUGAGGAAAUGUUGAUUAAUGUACGUCCUAAGUUGAUUAACACCAGACAAAUAGCAAAUACCCAUUUAUACCUCAAAAAAUAGUCAAAUAACACUUCCAUUGAUAUAAACAUCAAAAUAAGUGCUUGCAAAAUAGUUUUUUCAUCAUAACUAGUUGAUAAAAAAAUAACUGUAUUAUUAAUACACACCAAAAGAAGAAUAAAUUUUUUAUCUACAACAUAUCCACUAUUGACAUUUUUCAUUCUUGAGGUUUUUGUUGUUCUUUGAGAGUUGCUACUUCCUUAUUUACUAGUAUUUGUUGUUGAUCCAAUGCCCCUUUGUCAAAGCUUAGUCUUUCUCAGUUGCUUUCCUUUUCUUAGGAGGUGAUCUUUUCUGAAAGAUGAAAUUGUUUUACAUCAGUUUCACUUAAUGACUGAAAAAACAAAAAUAAUAUCAAUUUUUGUAUGAGAAGAUUAGUUGAUUAACAAACUAAUCAACAUCUUUUAAGUUCAUUAAUUUACUAAUCAACUACUGUUGAGUUGAUUAAUAUAUUAAUCAAGUUUUGAUCAUAUCUUAAUCAACUUAAAUUUAAUAAUCUCCGGUUGAGAUGAUUAAUAUAUUAAUCAAGUUUUGAUCAUAUAGUAAACAACUCAAAUUUAAUCAUCUCCGGUUGAGGUGAUUAAUAUAUUAAUCAACUGAAGUUGAACUUGGUUACCAACACAAUUGAAAGCUAACGGUUGAUAAUCAAUAUUGUUUGAGUAGAUUGGUACAUUAAUUAACUGUUGAUUAAUUUACUAAUCAACUCAAACUGAAGUUGAACUUGGUUAGCAACAAUAAUAUUUUAAGUUUUUAACCAAUUGAACUGAUUUUUACAUCAAAAUAAGAAAUUAAAAAUUUUAACUUACAUCAUAAUCAGAAAUAUGGUCUUCAAAAUCUAAAUCUCUCUCUUCCUCGUCGUGACGAUUAGGUAUGCUUUUGAGAGAUUUCCUAUUUUUCUAAAGACCCGUUGUUAUAGUAUGUUUAGCUCUUCCCAUUGCAAAACCCUUAAUCUAAAUCUAAGGUUUUGGAAAAAAAAUAUAUUGGAUUUUAGAAAACUAGGGUUUGAUUUAAGUUUUAUUUUGGUUGAUUGGAGUGAAAUUAGAGAGAAAUUGCACAGAGGAUCGAAGAAAUUGAAUGUCCGUGUUGAAGUCCGAGAAAGAGGACGAAGAGAGAGAAGGAUUUCGGGUUUGAUCGAAAUUGAAGAAGAAACCUCCCAUUAACCAUUACUGGCGACGUAUCCUCAGAACAGGACAAGCAUAAUACAUGCCCGACCGGACCACUUAAUCAACUCCCCACCAGACCACUUAACUUCAUCACUUCAUUAUGAUAUUUGUGUGUUCGCUUUGAAGUACUAGUCAUUUAGACAAUUGACAUGGAUGGCAGGAUAUGAGGAUAUGCAUUUGUGUGUUUGUUAACAAAUAAUGAUAAGAAAACUUUG
Molecule: long non-coding RNA, 2462 nt
Filed under: Aquilegia coerulea
Lineage: Eukaryota; Viridiplantae; Streptophyta; Magnoliopsida; Ranunculales; Ranunculaceae
Description: long non-coding RNA (ACOE_LNC001120)
Rfam family: tRNA (bases 305-377)
Source: RNAcentral